AUUCCCUACGGGACGCAGCAGUGGGGAAUAUUGCACAAUGGGGGAAACCCUGAUGCAGCGACGCCGCGUGAGUGAAGAAGUAUCUCGGUACGUAAAGCUCUAUCAGCAGGGAAGAAAAAAAGUCCUUUGGACUUUGGACGGUACCUGACCAAGAAGCCCCGGCUAACUACGUGCCAGCAGCCGCGGUAAUACGUAGGGGGCAAGCGUUAUCCGGAUUUACUGGGUGUAAAGGGAGCGUAGACGGCAGCGCAAGUCUGGAGUGAAAUGCCGGGGCCCAACCCCGGAACUGCUCUUGGAACUGCAUG
This 305-nucleotide ribosomal RNA is filed under the name uncultured bacterium. Its description in RNAcentral is "bacterial SSU rRNA". It matches the Rfam family "Bacterial small subunit ribosomal RNA", at positions 335 to 639 of the family's 1533-position model. The record is from RNAcentral.